CAGGAACCCGUUUACCAAUUUUCUUCGGUUAUCUCGACGGCAUUGUUUACUGGACAAACCCAUAGGCUUGGAAAGAUGAUGUUUCCAGCUGAAGAUAUCUGGAUAUGUCCGAUUAACAUCAGGGCUCACUGGAUUAUAGUGAUUAUCAUGAUGUCGGAGCAGGUGAUCGUAUUAAUGGACCCGUUGGGAAAUGAAAAAUCAUAUUAUUCAAUGUUGCAUGAGAACUGG
Molecule: long non-coding RNA, 228 nt
Organism: Bombina bombina (fire-bellied toad)
Lineage: Eukaryota; Metazoa; Chordata; Amphibia; Anura; Bombinatoridae
Exons: 3
Source: RefSeq, a predicted model, not a curated record